UGAGUAACGCGUAGGCAACCUGCCGUUGAGAUGGGGACAACAUCCCGAAAGGGGUGCUAAUACCGAAUGUUGUGGAAGUCUCGCAUGGGAUAUCCACUAAAGAUGACCUCUAUUUAUAAGUUAUCGCUCAACGAUGGGCCUGCGUCUGAUUAGCUAGUUGGUGGGGCAACGGCCUACCAAGGCGACGAUCAGUAGCCGGUCUGAGAGGAUGAACGGCCACAUUGGAACUGAGACACGGUCCAGACUCCUACGGGAGGCAGCAGUGGGGAAUCUUCCGCAAUGGGCGAAAGCCUGACGGAGCAACGCCGCGUGAGUGAAGAAGGCCUUCGGGUCGUAAAAGCUCUGUUGAAGGGGACGAAUGUCAAGACUAUCAACAACGGUUUUGAAUGACGGUACCUUUCGAGGAAGCCACGGCUAACUACGUGCC
Molecule: ribosomal RNA, 427 nt
Filed under: uncultured bacterium
Lineage: Bacteria
Description: bacterial SSU rRNA
Rfam family: Bacterial small subunit ribosomal RNA
Source: RNAcentral